UCGGGGGGUGUCAGCAGGACAGCAGAGGGGCCCGGGCCUUUGGCUUAGAGGUGACCCCCCCAGUCCCCCAGUGCAGUGACAGUCACAGCGUCCGAAUGGUGCGAGCCCCUCGGAGGGCAUCUCCACGGAUAGGGGCCCGGGGAGUGAUCGUUUGCGGGGAGAAAGACAGGGUUAUUACGCCAGGGCUGACUGGUCCACCGAAGGGUUAAAAGAAGGUGCAAUUCAUCGAAACUAUAAAACCAGCCACUGUUGGCCGCCGUCCCAAGUCCGUCCCAGAUUCAUCAUCGCAAAGUGUUUAAUCACGCACACGUGGAAGAAAGCCAUCUAUGACAGUGAAGCAGGUUUUAGUUACUUUGUUGGGAUCCCGGGGAAGUGUCAUACAAAGUCACCACUGGGGAUGCCUGUAGUUUUCUUGGAACCGCCCUUGUUGUUGCAGAAUUGACUCGCCUUUGGAAGCAGUGUGGUCAGUUGUCAGGCUCCUAGAUCAGAGUGUGUCCCCCUAGGGGACAGUUGGCACUGUCUGGGGACGUUUUUGGUUGUCAAACCAGGGCAGGGGGGUGCUACUGACAUGUAAUGGGCAGAGACCAGGGAUGCUGCUAAACAUUCUGUAAUACACAGGGCAGCCCUCACUGCAAAGAAUUAACUGGCCCAAAAUGUCACAAGUGCAGGAUUGGAAAUCUUGGUCCGAACGAUGAAAGGUUUUCAGCUUGAUGAUGAAUCCUGUGGUCAUGCUGUCCCUGUCAUUAGUUUGGAUGACCCAACGAGAACAUAAACAUGUUAUACUCAGUGGCUUGGAGAGCAGCGUUUGUGGGUUCGUUGAGUCAUUUUCAGGGACUAUACAUAGGUGUUGGAGUAGUUGUCAUCUGCCAUUUAACCAUCAGAGUGUGUUAGGAAGGAUUUCCUGUUUUCUGACAUCAAGUAGGUUUGAUUCAUUACCCAUGGGAAAAGUGAGUGUGUGUGUGUGUGUGUGUGUGUGUGUGUAUGUAUGAUACUCACACAAAUGCACACACAAAAUACCAUGUUUAUGAAUUGAGAAUACUCUUAAAUAGAUUUAAGAGGUUAAAAAAUAUAUCUGUGUAUAUGUGCAUAUGUGUACAUGUAUACAUACAUCCAAGUAUGAUCACUACUGGCACAACAUGUAAAUACAAACACAUUCCUGAUGGUUGCUCAAAUAUAUGGAUGAGGAAUUUUAGUAAAAUUAUUUCACCUUUUCAAGUAAAAAAAAUGAAAGUGGUGUUGUUAUUAGAGUUUAUUUUGACAUUUAAUCUGAGACCACUCAUCUUGAAAUCGUAAAUGAUGCUUAGAAAGCUUAUUUUAAACAUACAAAGGUGAUAAUUGUGUUUUGUAUUUCCCCAUCAUUACGUAUUAAAUUAUGCUUUGGUAAUACUAAGUUAUUUUGGAGCAAAUUGUUAUUCCUCUCAGGCUCACUUGUUUCUUGCAGUGCUUUUCACGAUUGUUCAUUUUUGCAUAGUCUUUCGUUAACAGCUCCUUUUGUUAUCUUUCUAAUCAAGUAGCAUGCCUACACUUCUUCACGUGAAGUCUGUUUUGACGUCUUGUAGCCAGUGAUGUUUGACAAGAAUAUUCUGUGUCUGGGAUUGACCUCCGUGAGGAAUGGGUGACUAGUCUGUUCUCAGUAGAGCAUCUUCAGCUUUGAAUUUCACCCCUUUUGAAUUUUUCCUGGGGUAUGCUUUGUUUGGUUUUGGGAUGAUAUGUUUGUUCAAACUAACUUGGUUACUGCAGAGCCUUUGUUGUUGCAGUUCUUGCAGCAGCUGGAAAAGUUAUUUCAAAAAGGCAGAUUGCCGUAGCGCUCCUUCUGGCGUGUGCUCACCUUUGUGUAUGGGUGUGUCGUCAACUUUUGACGUUAAAUUUUUAAUAUUAAUAGAUUAUUUUAUGGUAGAAAAACUGAUAUAAUCAAUUUAAAAGUCUCUUUAUGAGACAGUGCAGAAUGAUUUGCAGUUUUUUGUCUGUGCCAAAUGAAAACACACGUUGAACAGAUUUGUGCCACAUGCACUUUGUCAGGGCUGGAGGGAGUGUUGUGUCUCAUCGGUUGUCUGCUAGUUACACUACAGGAUUUCCUUCUGAGAGGUUACGAGGCAGGAGGACCCAGACAGUGUGAUGUGACGCCUGUGAUACAGUGCUUCCUCUGACUUUGACUUCUGCUUUCAAUGGUGGAUGACGGAAGUUACCUACUCAUAUUAAAGGUGAACACGUAGGGCUUCCUUGCCGGUCCAGUGGUUAAGACACUGCCCUUCCACUGCAGGUGGCCUGCCUUCCAUCCCUGGUUGGGGAGCUAAGAUCCUACAUGCUGCAUGGCGUGGCAAAUAAACAAAACAGCGAACGCACUAUUUUUCAAUCCACGGUGUCAGUGCUUUGUAUAUUAGCAUCCCCACAUACAUGCCACUCAUUAAAAAACCAAUAACUCACAAAGUUCUGGCCAUUAUCUCUUAAUAGGUGGGUGCGUUAAUUCUUCCGUUGGUAAUGUGAACACCUGCACGCAGUUGUUCACACAGAUUCUAAUAAUGCUGACUCCUGAUUUAGCUUGCCCCUGGGGAGAUUGAUUUAAACAAAUCUGUGCCUGUUAACCGAGGGUGUGUCUUAACAGUUAUUAACUGGACUGAAAUUAAGCUCAUUCGCGAAAGCCUCAAAUUUUGAUAGAAUUUUUCUUUUUUUUUUUCCUCUUUCCUGAGAUUGCCAGGUUCUAAUAGGAAGGUGUGCCUCUGGUUGCCAGUUAAGCAGUAUAGUUAUGUCUUCUGUCAGGAUUACUGGUAGUGCUGUGGCUGUUUGUAUAUUACCAUCCCAAGUUUGUUUUCUAAAAGGGUGUGGCUUGAUCAAGUGUUGGAUCUAUUGGUAGAGUUUCUGAAAAAGUUCAUUGCCAUCAUAAGAGCCGAUUAUUUCAACGAUACUUUUCUUACUGGUCUACUGAUUCCUGUCAUUUCUAGCUUUUGGUUCCAUGCACUUGCAGAUUUGUUUUUUUUGAAAUAUCGUUUUCCUUGGCAAAGGAACCUUUUAGUAGCUGCCUUAUGCCUUUUUGAAAAUCAGUUGUCUUUCUGUGAGCUCUGUAUCAAUAUCUUAUUGGGUUCUAGACUACUGGUUAUAAGUAGGUUAAAGGCCUGAGAGUCAGGGUAAACAGCUACAGCUGCUGCCAUAAAAUAUGAUCUGGUUGGGUAUUGGAAACAAAAGAGUAACCAUUUUUGAUUCUUGUAUCAAAUUAUGAUGCAUUUACACUGGAUCACUUCUAUGAAAAGAUAAAAUAGAACCAGAGGACAUUUGAAAUAAUCACUAUGGAGCAGGUGCAUGAUGAGAGACUAAAGAGAUUUCACCUUGAUCUGGAAAGAAGAGGCCUCAGAGGCAAUAUAAUUGAGAGCUUUAAGUCAUGAGUGAGAUGGUGAAGGUAGGAGUCUCUAGGGAAGGCAGCAGGGCCCAGGGGUGGAGAGGUUUGGAGUUGGUAGCCACCUCUGUGCAGCCUCGAGCAUGUCACUUACUCCCCAGGGCCGUGGUUUCUCUGUUAAUGACGUGGGUAGUGGGAUUGUACCUGUACCUCAUAGUGGACUCAAUUCUAGAACACUCAAAUAAAUAUAUAGCUCUCUUAAAACUUUGUAUAUGUUUAAGGACUAAUUAAAGGAAAACAGUUCAUUAACUCAAGUUGUAUGGACUGAACAUAUAAAUAGGUUUUUAAAAGUAUAUAGAAGUAAUCUCAUUUGUUAUGAAAGGCUGGUAUGGUCUUUGAAGCCAUGAAUUCUGAAUCAUUGAGGGUAUCAAAGUUCAAAUAGGGCCUGUCCCUCCCUUUUCUUUUUUUUUUUUUUUUGGGUCUUAAAAAUACAGACUUUUCUACACAGUCUUUGUUGGAAAAAACUAGCUCAGUGGACCAAGGGUCACAGUUCUUAAUUGAAGUCUCAUUGGUGUUCAGUUAACUGUUAUUCGUAAUAUUUUCUUUCUGGUCAUCACCAUGGAGUUAAAUGUGGCAUCUCCUGUAUUACUGUCUUGUUCAUUUCCCUAGAACAUGUCUUCCUCCCCGCUCCCCAGACACAAUGCUAAACACACAGAUGCUAAAUAAGUAUUUACCCAUUGAUAGGACACUGAAAACUUAGUGAAGCAGGCUUAAAUGACUCCCUGGCCUUUCCUUUGUUGCUCUGCUGUGCGGUUAUCUGCAUUUUACAGGUGGCGGUCAGGCCAGAAGUUAAGUGCUGCUUGAGUGGUACUGCUAGGAAGUGCAGGGUUAGCAUCCUGAAGCCGGUGCUUCACCCCGGGACUCUGAACCACCCUGCACUGCUGCUGCCUCGGGCCAUCCCCAGCUGUAUCCUCAAGCACCUUGACUUGGGCUUCCUUGGUGGCUCAGCCUGUAAAGAAUCUGCCGGCAAUGCAGGAGAUGUGGGUUCGAUCCCUAGGUCAGGAAGAUCCCCUGGAGAAGGGAAUGGCAACCCACUCCAGUAUUCUUGCCUGGAGAAUUCCAUGGACAGGAGUCUGGUGGGCUACAGUCGUGGGAUCAGAAACAGUCUACAGGGUGGAGCAACUAACACUUUCACUUUCAAGUAUUGCAACAUCUCAUGCUUAAUCUACUUUGUUAAGCUUGGUGUACCAGUAAACUAAUGUAUGUAUUUACUGUUAUGCUUGCAUCCAGAAGUUGACAAGGGGUGCAUUUUAAAUCCUAUUUUGUAGUGAAGCCAUUGAACCAAAAGAAUCUUCCAAGUUCUAUGUAAUAUUGAAGGGGGAAAAAGUGGGAAAAUAGUGAUAAAUUAAGCAAAAAGCUUUGUUUCUUUCAGAGUUGAGACACAGUGGAAAUAUACUACAGACCAGUUUUUUGAAAAAAGCAUUUUUUUUUCCCCUGGGUAAUAGAAGUGACCUUUUUGUUAAGAAAUAUUUCUCUUUCUCUUUUUCUUGUUCACCCUAGGAUUGCCCCUCUUAUUUAUCAGAUAUUCAGAUAGGCAACACAUUACCUAAGAAGCCUUUUAAAAGCUUUCACUUAAAUUGGAAGAAAUCACGUUGUAACUUGCAGGCUCAGUGUGGUUUAUGAGCCUGGAUCCAGAAAUAACGUAGAAAUAUAGAAAGCCUAGGCAUGGUGGAAAUUGCGCUCGGAUACUUCUUUCUCGGCUGUACCAUCACAUCUUUUCGUGAUGCGCCAGAGGGAUUUUUGUUAGGUUGCAACCUUACCAUCCGUCCUGCAUCUGAUUUUCGGAGUCUGACAUGCAAAGUCUCACCUGCCAGGAGGCCCAUGAUACCUGUAGUGGAGGAACUACUUAGCUGAAACGGAACUGAUACACAUACAUUCUAAAAAUAAUCUCCAACAGAAAUUGAUGUAUGAUCUUUUUUCAGAUUACUUUUUUAAAAAUUUCACUUGUGAGAUUUAGUCACAAUUUUUUUUCAUAAUUUAACUUUAGUUGGUGAAACAAGCAGGCUCUUUGCAAAGUUGGUGGUGACUUUCUUGUUUUGUUUUUGUUUUACGCUUUAUAGUGGGACUAAUAAAGAUUCAUAACCUUUAGCUUGUGUUUGAGGUUUCUCAGACCUGCAGGAUGAAUUAGAAAUAAAUCAUCAGCUCUUUUUUCAUGCACUUACUGUUUGGCUUGAUAGAAAUUCCCCUUGCAGCUCUUGUCUGUUGGUCUUUUGUUGGUGUUUGCCAUUGCCACUAAGGAAUAACUGGAAAUUGAAAACGAAGUUUAACUUACUUCCUAAAAACUAAAACUUCUCAAGAAGGAGAAUAGAACUAUGAAAUAGGGUGAAAUUUAAAUAAUACAUGUGGAUCUUUUGAUUUUGCCUUAUCUUACUAUAAAGUCAAAUUCAUUUGUUUGGAAACUGAACUGUAUGUAAGCAGUAUGUAAAUGCAAAUGAUAGUAAAUAUAAUUUAAAAUUAGAUCCUAAAAUCAAAUACUUAUCGUUUGUCAAGAAGAAUUAUUAGUGAUUUACAAAUGUUAGAAAAUCAUCGUCCUCUUGAUGAUUUUUGAAUAAUAUAUCUUGGAAUUCUUUUCCUUUUCUUUUUAUAAUGUCCUUAGAAUUCUUUUUAACAUGUAUGCAGUGAUGUAUGUGUAUCUGUUAAAAAAAAGAAAGAUCUUUUCUGGAGGCCCCUAGUGGAAAUGGGCAAUAAUACAAAAGUGGACAUACGAAAUACCUGUUUGCAACUUUUUACUCUUACAUACUACAGAUUGUAAAUUUACUAUGUCAGGUUACCAUAGCAGUUUCUUAAUGCUUUCUUUUCACUUCCAUACUUACUUAAAUACCGUGUUUGAAGUAAGUCUGUCCAUAAAUUGACUUGCAUAGGACUGGUUUAAUAGAAAAGUAGGGACUCUGAAUCAGAAGAUUGGGACUUGAGUCUUGCUUUACUGUUUUAACGUGGACAGAUUUUUAAACUUCUGUAAGCUUCCAGUUCCUCAUCUGUAAAUCAGGGAUAAGAAUUCUGCUUCAUGGAAUUUUUUGAGAUUAAAUGAAAAUACAUUGAGGCAUCCGGCAUAUAUAGUAGGUGGUCAGAUCAGUAAAAUAUUAGUUCCUUUUUCUUCACUUAAUUAUCCAACAUAAAUAGAAGUAUGUGCUUGUUAAUUAUGUGAUGGUUUCCAAUAUUUUAUUGUAUUUUGAAAUGUGAAUAGGGUAGAGCUUAGGUUAUACAUGUUCAUCAGAGUUUUAAAAAUAUAUUCCAUUUUUUCCCCUGAUUAUAAAAAUAACCCAUGUUCAGUGUGGAAAAUUGGGAAGAUAUUGAAGAGUAUAUAAAGAGAAAUGACUGUCUUUAUAUAGUUCCAAAGAGAAUCACUGUUACUAUUUUGACAUAAUAUUUUGACUUGCAUCCUGCUUCCUGGAUAUGUUUGUGCACACACAUAUACACACACACCCCCACACACGUAUUUAUGUUCUUUUAUAGUUGCUUUCAUUUUGGAGGAAACCAUAGAUUAAAGCAAGCAUAGUUAGUGUUAGUCGCUCAGUCAUGUCAGACUCUCUGUGAGCCCGUGGACUGUAGCCCACCAGGCUCCUCUGUCCAUGGGAUUCUCCAGGCAAGGAUACUGGAGUGGGUUGCCAUGCCCUCCUCCAGGGGAUCUUCUCAACCCAGGGAUCCAACCCAGGUCUCCCACUUUGCAGGCGGACUCUUUACCAUCUGAGCCACCAGGGAAUGAAUGAACUUAAAGUUCUUUUUAAUGCGUAUGCAGUGGUGUGUGCAUUUCUUUUAAAUGGCCUUUCCCAGGCACCCUUAGCCUCUUUUUAAAAGAAUAAUUUGUUUUUUUGGGUGUUCUUAUCUACCUACAUGUAUUUUUUUUUUUAUUAUGGGAAAGUUCAAACAUGUGAAAACAAGAGUAGAUAAAGUGUAAUGAAUCCCUCAUGUGCUUGUCUACCAGUUUUAACAAUUACCAACUCCUGGCCAAUCUUGUUUCAUCUCUUUCCCCACCUUUCCCAUUAUAUUUUGAAAUGAUUUCCAGAUAUGUUUAAUUUCCAACAUUUCCAUAGCAGUGUUCAGUCCUUAGUUCAAACAAAAUAACCGGUGUUUUUCCUUUUUCAGACAGUGAGUGCUUAUGGCAGUGGGAUAAGAUUUAGGGAGAAUUCUACAUUCAUUCAUUUUUUAUUUUUUAGUGGCCCACCCUGACUUUUUAACCAUUUUCUUAACCAUGAUACAGAGAUAAUAGAAUUUGCUACUAGUCAUACACUCUUUGCAUAUAAUUCUUGUUAAAUAAAUGCUAGUUUAUGGAAUGAUUGGUACAGAAUUCAAAUUCUAUUGAAGAUCUUUCAUACCACUUAAAAUUGGGUGGUGAUUCCUUAAAUACUUAAGUUGAAGGAAAAGGUUGAAUGUUGUCACAUUUUAUGAGUAGCCAAAUUGUUAAUAUAAUAAAUUUUUGUCCUUACUGAUACUUUAAUUUUCCACCCCAAACCCCACCUCAGCUGUUAGGGAAAUUAUUUCAUGCUCAAAUUUACUUGCCUACACUCUUCAUAUUUUUCAAAAACUACUUUUUGAUUUUUAGGGGGAGGACUCAGCCUGUAUUCUUCAAUGUGUAUAUUUAAAAAUUGUUGUUAUAGAACAUUUCAAACAUUCAUAGAAGUAGAAUUAAAUAAAAAACUACCAAGUAGCCAGUUCAACAGUUGUCAACCUUGUUUCAUCCAUAGUCAGAUCUAC
Molecule: long non-coding RNA, 8080 nt
Organism: Dama dama (fallow deer)
Lineage: Eukaryota; Metazoa; Chordata; Mammalia; Artiodactyla; Cervidae
Exons: 3
Source: RefSeq, a predicted model, not a curated record